Molecule: unclassified non-coding RNA, 200 nt
Filed under: Hypocreales sp.
Lineage: Eukaryota; Fungi; Ascomycota; Sordariomycetes; Hypocreales
Description: partial internal transcribed spacer 2
Source: RNAcentral
UUAAGUUCAGCGGGUAUUCCUACCUGAUUCGAGGUCAACAUUUCGGUAAGUUGGGGGUUUUACGGCAGGGCACCGCCGAGAUUCCAGUGCGAGGAGAAAACUACUACGCAGAGGAGGCUACAGCGGGACCGCCACUAGAUUUAGGGGACGGCGACGCCCGAGGGCGCUACGCCGAUCCCCAACACCAAGCAGAGCUUGAG